Helianthus annuus (common sunflower) is the source of this 580-nucleotide long non-coding RNA. RefSeq lists it as uncharacterized. The record is from RefSeq and is a predicted model, not a curated record. The transcript is spliced from 3 exons. NCBI's taxonomy places the organism in Eukaryota, Viridiplantae, Streptophyta, Magnoliopsida, Asterales, Asteraceae.
GAUCGGGGCAGGGAAGAUGAAGCAAUUUCACAUUUGAAAAGAUCCAUAUUCAUUUCCACCCAAAAUUCCAACUUUGAGUCGAAUUUAGUCACCGUUAAAUGCAAAAUUGAUUAGGGUUUUGAGAAUGGUGAGUUUAAGUGGAUUUGCUUACUUGUUUUCAGAGCUUGUUCAGUAUAAUCAGACCCACGUUGACAACAUUGGGGAGCUAGAAAGGAGAUUGGAGGAUGCGGGCUAUGCUGUUGGAGUACGAGUUUUGGAAUUACUGUGCCACAUGUUGUCUAUCGUUUCGGCUGUUGGUGCAUAGUUGACUUUUUAUAUGAUCUAAUAGCACUUUAUUGUUGAAUAGCUAAAAUGAUAUAGUUAAUAUGUCAAGUAUGAUUGUAAAGCUAGAUUAAUUGUAAUACUAAUCUACUUUUUGUAGAUUUGAUCAUAGUUGUUAAAAGCCAUCGCCUCUUGCGCCUAGGCCCAAUUUCCUAGCAAGGCGAGGCAGUUGCGCCUUAAGUCGAGGCAAUUGCGCUUUAAUUCUCCAGGUGAUGGUUCAUGCGCAUAUUCCAGCGAGAUUCCUAGAUUCAAAUGAGUU